UACGAAGGGGGCUAGCGUUGCUCGGAAUGGCUGGGCGUAAAGGGCGCGUAGGCGGUGAAUCGGGUUGAAAGUGAAAGUCGCCAAAAAGUGGCGGAAUGCUCUCGAAACCAAUUCACUUGAGUGAGACAGAGGAGAGUGGAAUUUCGUGUGUAGGGGUGAAAUCCGUAAAUAUACGAAGGAACGCCAAAAGCGAAGGCAGCUCUCUGGGUCCCUACCGACGCUGGGGUGCGAAAGCGUGGGGAGCGAACAGG
This 251-nucleotide ribosomal RNA is filed under the name uncultured bacterium. RNAcentral's name for it is "partial 16S ribosomal RNA". It matches the Rfam family "Bacterial small subunit ribosomal RNA", at positions 524 to 776 of the family's 1533-position model. The record is from RNAcentral.